UCAGAGGCGGACCCACAUGAAAGGGGAUCUAGCUCGUCUCUAUUACUUUUUCUCUUCAUUUCAUCAAGUACACAUCUAAAUGAGAGACGUGUGUUCUAUUUAAUUUUUAAAGACCAAAAUUUUAUUACACUAACAAGUAUACUAAUCAUAAUUAAGUCAAUGAUUUUGGAAAAGCACUCUCCAAAUUUUCGUAAGAAAAAGACAUUCCCCACAAUUUUUGACACCCAUUAAUAUCAUUAAUUACAUCUUAUAAAACAAUAAUUAAAUGUCGUGAACCCAUAAUCAACAGAGUGAACCCGUUUUUUGUUCUUUUACUACAAGCUUUGUCAUUUGCUUUUUAGGAGACAAUUUGCUACGGUUUUGAAGAAGUAAUAUAUGGUGAUAAUCUCUUGUUAUUUUUUUUUUUUUACUCUUUCUUUUUUCUUUUUGUACUUUUACUUCUUGCUUUGCCUUUUUCUUUUUGUUAGAUAAUUCACUUUGAUGUUGAACAAGCAAUCUAUGGUGAUAAUCUUUUCUUUUUUUCUCUCUUUCUUUUUUCUUUUUGUUAUUUUAUUACUGGCUUUGCCUUUUUCUUUUUGAGAGACUAUUCACUUUGGUGUUAAAAAAAAUAAUCUAUGGUGAUAAUCUCUUGUUUCUUUUUUCUCUUUCUUUUUUAUUUUUAUUCUUUUACUACUGACUUUGCCUUUUCUUUUUUGGGAGAUAAUUCACUUUGUUGUUGAAGAAGCAAUUUAUGGUGACAACCAUUUUUUUUUUUUAUUCUUUUUGUUAUUUUACCACCCGCUUUGCUUUUUUCUUUUUGGGAGACAAUUCACUUUAGUGUUGAAGAAGCAAUCUAUAGUGAACACCUUUUAUUUUAUUUUUUUCUCUUUCUUUUUUCUUUUUGCUCUUUUACUACUGGCUUUGCCUUUUUUCUUUUUGGGAGACAAUUCACUUUGGUGUUGAAGAAGCAAUCUAUGGUGAUAAUCUUUUUUUUUUUUAAUCUUUCCUUUUUCUUUUCUGUUUUUUUACUACUGGCUUUGCCUUUUUCUUUUUUCGGGAGACAAGUCACUUUGGUGCUGAAGAAGCAACCUAUGGUGAUAACCUCUUGUCUUUUUUCUUUUUCUCUUUCUUUUUUCUUUUUGUUCUUUUACUAUUGGCUUUGCCUUUUUUCUUUUUGAGAGACAAUUUACUUUGAUGUAGAAGAAACAAUCUAUGGUUAUAAUUUCUUUUUGUUUGUCUUUCUUUUUUCUUAUUGUUCUGUUACUACUGGCUUUGCCUUUUUUUUUUUUUGGGAUACAAUUCACUUUGGUGUUGAAGAAGCAAUCUAAGGUGACAAUUUCUUUUUCUUUUUUCUUUUUGUUAUUUUACUACUUGCUUUGCUUUUUUCUUUUUAAGAGACAAUUCACUUUGGUGUUUGAAUAAAAAUCUAUGAUGAUAAUCUCCUCUUCUUUUUUUCUCUUUCUUUUUUCUUUUUGUUCUUUACUACUGGCUUUGUUUUUUCUUUAUAGGAGACAAUUCACUUUAAUAUUGAUGAAGUAAUCUACAGUGGCAACCUCUAUUUUUUUUUUCUAUUUCUUUUUUUUUUUUUUGUUCUUUAACUGCUGGCUUUGUCUUUUGUCUUUUGUCUUUUUGGGAGACCAUUCACUUUGGUGUUGAAGAAGAAAUCUAUGGUGAUAAUCUCUUCAUUUUUUUUUUGUCUUUCUUUUUGUUCUUUUACUACUGACUUUGCCUCUUUUUUUUUUUUUUGGAGACAAUCACUUUGGCUAUGAAGAAGUAAUCUAUGGUGAUAAUCUCUUCUUUUUUUUUGUUUGUUCUUUUACUACUAGCUUUGCCUUUUUUCUUUUUUGGGGACAAUUCACUUUAUUGUAGAAUAAGCAAUCUAUGGUGACAAUCUCAUUUUUUUUUCUCUCUCUCUCUCUCUUUGGUUCUUUUACGACUGACUUUGCCUUUUUCUUUUUCGGAGAUAAUUCACUUUAGUAUUGAAGAAACAAUCUAUGGUGAUAAUCUUUUUUUUUUCUCUUUCUUUUUUCUUUUUGAUCUUUUACAACAGACUUUGACUUUUUCUUUUUGCGACACAGUUCACUUUGGUGUUGAAAAAGCAAUUCAUGUUGAUAAUCUCUUGUUUGUUUUUCUUUGUUUUUUAUUUUUGUUCUUUUAUUACUGGCUUUGCCUUUUUCUUUUUGGAAGACAAUUCACUUAGAUGUUGAAGCACCAAUCUAUAGUGACAACCUCUUAUUUUUUUUCUGUUUCUUUUUGUUCUUUUACUAUUGACUUAGCCUUUUUCUUUUUGGGAUACAAUUCACUUUGGUAUUGAAGAAACAAUCUAUAGUAAUAAUCUCUUUUUUAUUUUUCUCUUUCUUAUUUCAUUUGGUUAUUUUACAACUGGCUUUGUCUUUUACUUUUUGAGAGACAAAUCACUUUUGUGUUUUGAAUAAGUAAUGUAUGGUGAUAAUCAUUUGUUUUUCUUUUCAGUUUUUUUUUUGUUUGAUUUUUUUACUAGUGGCUUUGCCUUUUUCUUUUGGGAAACAAUUCACUUUGGUGUUGAAUAAGCAAUUUAUGGUGAUAAUCUCUUUUUUUCCCCUUUCUUUUUUUCUUUUUGCUCUUUUACUGUUAGCUUUGCUUUUUUCUUUUUAGGAGACAAUUCAUUUUGGUGUCGAAGAAGUAAUCGAUGGUGACAACCUCUUUUUUUUUCUAUUUCUUUUUUCUUUUUGUUCUUUUACUACUGGCUUUGUCUUUUUUUUUUUGGAAGACAAUUCACUUUGGUAUUGAAAAAGCAAGCUAUGUUGAUAAUCUUUUUUUUGUUUUGUUUUCUCUUUCUCUAUUCUUUUUGUUUUUUACUACUGGCUUUGCUUUUUUCUUUUUGGAAGGCAAAUCACUUUGGUAUUGAAGAAGCAAUCUAUGGUGACAAUCUCUUGUUUUUUUUCUCUCUUUCUUUUUUCUUUUUGUUCUUCUAAUACUGGCUUUGCUUUGUUCUUUUUGAUAGAUAAUUGACUUUGGUGUUGAAGAAGCAAUCUAUGGUGACAAUCUCUUGUUUUUUUUUUCUCUUUCUUUUUCUUUUUGUUCUUCUAAUACUGGCUUUGCUUUGUUCUUUUUGAUAGAUAAUUGACUUUGGUGUUGAAGAAGCAAUCUAUGGUGACAAUCUCUUGUUUUUUUUUUCUCUUUCUUUUUCUUUUUGUUCUUCUAAUACUGGCUUUGCUUUGUUCUUUUUGAUAGACAAUUUACUUUGGUGUUGAAGAAGCAAUCUAUGGUGAUAAUCUCUUCUUCUUCUUUUUGUAUAUUUCUUUUCUCUUUUUGUUCUUUUACUACUAACUUUACGUUUUUUUUUUUGUUUCACUUUCUUUUUUGUUCUUUUACUACUGUCUUUGCCUUUUUCUUUUUGGAAGACAAUUCACUUUGAUGUUAAAGAAGCAAUAUAUGGUGAUAAUAUCUUUUUUUCUCUUUCUUUUUUCUUUUUCUUUCUUUUACUACUUGCUUUGCCUUUUUCAUUUUGGGAGACAAUUUACUUUGGUGUUGAAGAAGUAAUCUACGGUGAUAAUCUCUUGUUUUUUUUUUUGUUCUCUUUCUUUUUUCUUUUUGUUAUUUUACUACUAGCUUUUCUUUUUUCUUUUUGGGGGACAAAUCACUAUUUUGUUGAAUAAGCAAUCUAUGGUGAUAAUAUCUUCUUUUUUUCCUCUUUCUUUUUUCUUUUUGUUCUUUUACUAUUAGCUUUGUCUUUUUCUUUUUGGGAGAAAAUUUACUUUGGUGUUGAAGAAACAAUCUAUGGUGAUAAUAUCUUUUUUUUCUCUUUCUUUUUUUUAUUUGUUCUUUUACUACUGGCUUUGCCUUUUUCAUCUUGGUAGACAAUUAUGUUGGUGUUGAAGAAGCAAUCUAUGGUGAUAAUCUUUGUUUUUUCCCUUUCUAUUUUCUUUUUGAUCUUUUAUUACAGGUUUUGCCGUUUUCUUUUUAGGAGACAAUUCACUUUGGUGUUGAGGAAGCAAUCUACAGUGAUAAUCUUUACAUUGUUUUCUCUCUUUCUUUUUUCUUUUUGUUCUUUUACUACAGAGUUCGCCUUUUUUUUUUGGGAGACAAUCACUUUGGUGGUGAAUAAAUAAUCUAUUUUUUUUAGGAACCACUAAGCCACAGCUUAGUGUGAUAUAUUUUAUUUAUGGUAAAUAAAGACCAAAGUCUAAAAGUUCAGACACCAACAAAAGGACAGCAACAACAAAAAAUAAACACCCUAAAUCGAUCCUCUUCUUCAGCUUGUCUUCAGUCAAUCUUCACUAAUCCACCAAGAUCUGCCCCCAUCGACGAAGAACAAUACCAGCUUGUGAAGAUUCAAUGUUCAAAAAUCAGCUACUUCAGCUCCUCUUCAAUCUAUCUUCUAUUAUACACAAAGAUCCGUCCCCAUCGAUGAAGAAAGUAUGAUUUCCAGCUUGUCAUUAGCUAUUGCAGCUCCUCUUCAAUCGAUAUUCAAUUAUACACCAAGAUCCGUCCCCAUCGAUGAAGAAAAUACGAUUUCCAGAUUUCUCUCACACCAGAAGGAAAAAGCUAUUGGAUUCAUAUGGUGAACCCAUAACCAACACAGUGGAUCCGCCCCCCUGUAUGUUCUAAUACUGUUAUUGUCAAUUUAAUCAAUUGUUGCAUGUUGUUAUUCUAUUUUUCAUGUUAUCAUAUCAUGCUUGACCAGGAGAGUUACCUGUUAUUGCAUGUCAAUAUAACCUGAUAGCGUAAAAGUUCUUUACGACAUAAUAUAAACUCUUUGUCAAGGAAUAAUAUUUUCUGUUUCACGGGAAAUAUAUCCCUUUCUGCUGGUCAGGGCAAAGAACAAAUUCCUUUCUUUUGGUCAAAGGAAAACAAUGGCGUUUAAUUUCUCCUUUGGAGAUUAAUCAAGAAGAGUUUAAUAUAAUUAUCCUUUUCUAUAUAAUGGUUUUGCAAGCACGGUUAAUGUAUUCGGGGCUAGCAAGACAAUAGAGGUUAGAUAGCUCUGAUAGGAGGAAGAGGUAGGUUAGGUCACCUGUCCAUAAAAAAGAUCAAUAGCCCUAAUAAAGGGAUGGCGUGGUUAGUUAUUCGUCAUAGACAAAUGGGUGAUCAUGAAAGAAAGCAGUAUGACUAUAUUAUUAAUCAUGCAACUCAAAUGCACCUAGUUGUGGCUACACUACUAGUGACGGUCACCUUUGCAGCCGGUUUCACAUUGCCGGGAGGUUUUGAGAGCGACCUCGAUAGCCCUAAUAAAGGGAUGGCGAUUCUUACCAGGGACACAGCAUUCCGUGCAUUCGUUAUUAUCGAUGCCAUCGCUUUGUAUGCUCCGCUGGCUCUGUGUUCAGCUACUUCAUCAUGGCAUUGUAUCAACCAACGACCAGUGAAGAGAUGACAGUUCUGAUAAACAUUUAUGUGGUUGCAAUGACUUUGCAGUUUUUCUCAAUGUCAGCAGUUGUAAUUGCAUUUAUAACUGGUUUGUAUGCUACUUUGGCACAUUCAGCUGGUCUUGCUGUUACUGUUUGUGUCAUCGGUUGCCUCUUUUUCCUAAUUUACGUGUUAGUUUUCUAUCUAAUAAUUCUAAGAUGAUUGAGUGAAGACAUAUGAGUAUAAAUUAUAAUGCAUGUAGUGUUUCCUUAUGUGUUGUAUCUUGUGCUGUUUAGCAUAUUCAAUGUAAACAAUAUUUUACAUAAUCAGGUAACCUUUAUUUA
Lycium barbarum (goji berry) is the source of this 5645-nucleotide long non-coding RNA. RefSeq lists it as uncharacterized. The record is from RefSeq and is a predicted model, not a curated record. The transcript is spliced from 2 exons. Lineage: Eukaryota; Viridiplantae; Streptophyta; Magnoliopsida; Solanales; Solanaceae.